RNAcentral lists this ribosomal RNA (848 nucleotides) under Acinetobacter radioresistens. Its description in RNAcentral is "bacterial SSU rRNA". It matches the Rfam family "Bacterial small subunit ribosomal RNA", at positions 23 to 858 of the family's 1533-position model. The record is from RNAcentral. Lineage: Bacteria; Pseudomonadati; Pseudomonadota; Gammaproteobacteria; Moraxellales; Moraxellaceae.
CUCAGAUUGAACCUGGGGGGCCAGGUUUUAACCCAUGCAAAGUGGAGCGGGAGAAAGUUAACUUUGGUUACCAGAUUCAGCGGCGGACGGGGGGAGUAAUGCUUAGGAAUCUUCCUAUUAGUGGGGGACAACGUUCCGAAAGGAGUGCUAAUACCGCAUACGUCCUCCGGGGGAAAGCAGGGGACCUUUGGACCUUGCGCUAAUAGAUGAGCCUAAGUCGGAUUAGCUAGUUGGUAGGGUAAAGGCCUACCAAGGCGACGAUCUGUAGCGGGUUUGAGAGGAUGAUCCGCCCCACUGGGACUGAGACACGGCCCAGACUCCUACGGGAGGCAGCAGUGGGGAAUAUUGGACAAUGGGGGGAACCCUGAUCCAGCCAUGCCGCGUGUGUGAAGAAGGCCUUUUGGUUGUAAAGCCCUUUAAGCGAGGAGGAGGCUCCCUUAGUUAAUACCUCAGGAUAGUGGACGUUACUCGCAGAAUAAGCACCGGCUAACUCUGUGCCAGCAGCCGCGGUAAUACAGAGGGUGCGAGCGUUAAUCGGAUUUACUGGGCGUAAAGCGUGCGUAGGCGGCUUUUUAAGUCGAAUGUGAAAUCCCCGAGCUUAACUUGGGAAUUGCAUUCGAUACUGGCAGGCUAGAGUAUGGGAGAGGAUGGUAGAAUUCCAGGUGUAGCGGUGAAAUGCGUAGAGAUCUGGAGGAAUACCGAUGGCGAAGGCAGCCUUCUGGCCUAAUACUGACGCUGAGGUACGAAAGCAUGGGGAGCAAACAGGAUUAGAUACCCUGGUAGUCCAUGCCGUAAACGAUGUCUACUAGCCGUUGGGGCCCUUGAGGCUUUAGUGGCGCAGCUAACGC